Molecule: ribosomal RNA, 780 nt
Filed under: Myxobolus sp. c SAD-2020
Lineage: Eukaryota; Metazoa; Cnidaria; Myxozoa; Bivalvulida; Myxobolidae
Description: SSU rRNA
Rfam family: Eukaryotic small subunit ribosomal RNA
Source: RNAcentral
GCGUUUAAAAACGCUCGUAGUUGGAUCACGCAGCAGUGUUCAGUAAUCUAUUCACAAGGAAGGUGAUGGUUGUGCUCGUCUCUGACGACGUAACUGAUCCUUACUUUGGUAGAUGUUUAAGCUGACCGCUGUUAAUUGCACGUGAGAUGGAUCGUUGACCUUUAAUGUGUCGGUAAUCCCGUCUUGCGGAGUGUGCCUUGAAUAAAACAGAGUGCUUAAAGCAGGCUUAUGCCUGAAUGUUAUAGCAUGGAACGAACAAUCGUGUCUACGUGCACAUUUCUCAUAUGAUGAUUGGCCUAUGGUUAGUUAUUGUUGGGAGUGUGUACAUCACCCACCAAAGUAUGGCUGUUGGUUCCAUAUACGGUGAUGAUUAACAGGAGCGGUUGGGGGCAUCAGUAUUUGGCCGCGAGAGGUGAAAUUCUUGGACCGGCCAAGGACUAACAAAUGCAAAGGCACUUGUCCAGACCGUUUCCAUUAAUCAAGAACGAAAGUGGGAGGUUCGAAGACGAUCAGAUACCGUCCUAGUUCCCACUGUAAACUAUGCCGACCUGGGAUCAGUCUAGAGAUGUUACAAGCUCCAGAUUGGUCCCCCUGGGAAACCUCAAGUUUUUCGGUUACGGGGAGAGUAUGGUCGCAAGGCUGAAACUUAAAGGAAUUGACGGAAGGGCACCACCAGGGGUGGAGCCUGCGGCUUAAUUUGACUCAACACGGGGAAACUUACCUGGUCCGGACAUCGAUAGGAUACACAGACUGAUAGAUCUUUGUUGAUGCGAUGAGUGG